GACGAACGCUGGCGGCGUGCUUAACACAUGCAAGUCGAACGGAAAGGCCCUGCUUUUGUGGGGUGCUCGAGUGGCGAACGGGUGAGUAACACGUGAGUAACCUGCCCUUGACUUUGGGAUAACUUCAGGAAACUGGGGCUAAUACCGGAUAGGAGCUCCUGCUGCACGGGGGGGGUUGGAAAGUUUCGGCGGUUGGGGAUGGACUCGCGGCUUAUCAGCUUGUUGGUGGGGUAGUGGCUUACCGAGGCUUUGACGGGUAGCCGGCCUGAGGGGGUGACCGGCCACAUUGGGACUGAGAUACGGCCCAGACUCCUACGGGAGGCAGCAGUGGGGAAUAUUGCACAAUGGGCGGAAGCCUGAUGCAGCAACGCCGCGUGCGGGAUGACGGCCUUCGGGUUGUAAACCGCUUUCGCCUGUGACGAAGCGUGAGUGACGGUAAUGGGUAAAGAAGCACCGGCUAACUACGUG
This 468-nucleotide ribosomal RNA is filed under the name uncultured bacterium. RNAcentral describes it as "partial 16S ribosomal RNA". It matches the Rfam family "Bacterial small subunit ribosomal RNA", at positions 28 to 507 of the family's 1533-position model. The record is from RNAcentral.